GCCAGUGUGACAUAGUAGUUUGAGCAUUGGACUCUGACUCUGGAGACCAGGGUUCAAUUCCCAACAUGGCCA
This 72-nucleotide transfer RNA is filed under the name Phrynosoma platyrhinos (Desert horned lizard). Its description in RNAcentral is "tRNA-OTHER". The record is from RNAcentral. Lineage: Eukaryota; Metazoa; Chordata; Lepidosauria; Squamata; Phrynosomatidae.